RNAcentral lists this ribosomal RNA (20 nucleotides) under Bedotia sp. 'Mahanara'. RNAcentral's name for it is "partial 12S ribosomal RNA". The record is from RNAcentral. Lineage: Eukaryota; Metazoa; Chordata; Actinopteri; Atheriniformes; Bedotiidae.
GGAAGGUGCACUUGGAUAAC